Molecule: ribosomal RNA, 440 nt
Filed under: uncultured bacterium
Lineage: Bacteria
Description: partial 16S ribosomal RNA
Rfam family: Bacterial small subunit ribosomal RNA
Source: RNAcentral
CCUACGGGGGGCUGCAGUGGGGAAUAUUGCACAAUGGGGGAAACCCUGAUGCAGCGACGCCGCGUGAGUGAAGAAGUAUUUCGGUACGUAAAGCUCUAUCAGCAGGGAAGAAAAUGACGGUACCUGACUAAGAAGCCCCGGCUAACUACGUGCCAGCAGCCGCGGUAAUACGUAGGGGGCAAGCGUUAUCCGGAUUUACUGGGUGUAAAGGGAGCGUAGACGGCAGCGCAAGUCUGGAGUGAAAUCCCAUGGCUUAACCAUGGAACUGCUUUGGAAACUGUGUAGCUAGAGUGCAGGAGAGGUAAGCGGAAUUCCUAGUGUAGCGGUGAAAUGCGUAGAUAUUAGGAGGAACACCAGUGGCGAAGGCGGCUUACUGGACUGUAACUGACGUUGAGGCUCGAAAGCGUGGGGAGCAAACAGGAUUAGAUACCCCAGUAGUC